This 282-nucleotide unclassified non-coding RNA is filed under the name Hevea brasiliensis (rubber tree). Lineage: Eukaryota; Viridiplantae; Streptophyta; Magnoliopsida; Malpighiales; Euphorbiaceae. The record is from RNAcentral.
GCAACUCCAUCUGAACAUAUGAAAGUUCCUUGUUUAUCUUCAGAAGGAAAUCAUUGAAAUCCCGCUCAUGAGAACGUGGGUUUUUUCCGGUGACGGCAGCGAAGAUCUUGUGGAAUUCGUUCUCCUUGAGUGGGCCGCGCGUCAUCAACGCUUGAAUAAGAGUGUGGUGCUUCCAGUUGAGCACGGCCAUGUAUUCGACUUUAAAACCCUAGAUUUGAUCGGAAGUAUGAAUUUUGGGUGGGCGAAGUGAGGAUAUUUUCGGCGGAGAAGGGUUUCUUGUCG